CUGAUGGCGUGCCUUUUGAAGAAUGAGCCUGCGAGUUAGUGGUAUGUCGCGAGGUUAACCCGUGUGGGGAAGCCGUAGCGAAAGCGAGUCCGAAUAGGGCGAUGUUAGUGGCAUGCUCUAGACCCGAAGCGGAGUGAUCUACCCAUGGCCAGUGUGAAGCGACGGUAAGACGUCGUGGAGGCGCGAACCCACUUAGGUUGAAAACUGAGGGGAUGAGUUGUGGGUAGGGGUGAAAGGCCAAUCAAACUCCGUGAUAGCUGGUUCUCCCCGAAAUGCAUUUAGGUGCAGCGUCGCAUGUUUCACCUCGGAGGUAGAGCUACUGGAUGGCCGAUGGGCCCUACAAGGUUACUGACGUCAGCCAAACUCCGAAUGCCGAGGUGUGAGAGUGCGGCAGUGAGACUGUGGGGGAUAAGCUUCAUAGUCGAGAGGGAAACAGCCCAGAUCGCCGGCUAAGGCCCCUAAGCGUGUACUAAGUGGAAAAGGAUGUGGGAUCGCUGAGACAGCCAGGAGGUUGGCUUAGAAGCAGCCACCCUUGAAAGAGUGCGUAAUAGCUCACUGGUCAAGUGGUCCUGCGCCGACAAUGUAGCGGGGCUCAAGUACACCGCCGAAGCCGCGGCACUCACACAUGAACCUCCUCCGGGCAGGUGUGUGGGUGGGUAGGGGAGCGUCGUGUGGCCAUAGAAGCGCCGGAGUGAUCCAGGUGUGGAGGCCACACGAGUGAGAAUGCAGGCAUGAGUAGCGAAUGACGAGUGAGAAACUCGUCCGCCGGAUGACCAAGGGUUCCUGGGUCAAGCUAAUCUGCCCAGGGUGAGUCGGGACCUAAGGCGAGGCCGACAGGCGUAGUCGAUGGACAACGGGUUGAUAUUCCCGUACCCGUGUAUGCGCGCCCAUGGUGAAUCAGUGAUACUAACCGCCCUGAACCACCUAGAGACACUUCGGUGUACGUGGUGGGGAUGCGCGGGACCUGAUCUGGUAGUAGCCAAGCGAUGGGGUGACGCAGGAAGGUAGCUGGGCCAGUCAGUGGUUGUACUGGUGUAAGAGUGUAGGCCGUGACAACAGGCAAAUCCGUGUCACACAAGGGCUGAGACUUGAUGCGUACCCGUUGUGGGGAAUUCAGUGAUCCUAUGCUGCCGAGAAAAGCCUCUAGUGAGUUCAUACACGGCCCGUACCCCAAACCAACACAGGUGGUCAGGUAGAGAAUACCAAGGCGAUCGAGAGAACUGUGGUUAAGGAACUCGGCAAAAUGCCCCCGUAACUUCGGGAGAAGGGGGACCACGCCCGGUGAACACCUUUGCGGUGGGAGCUGGGGGUGGUCGCAGAGACCAGAGAGAAGCGACUGUUUACUAAAAACACAGGUCCGUGCGAAGACGUAAGUCGAUGUAUACGGACUGACGCCUGCCCGGUGCUGGAAGGUUAAGAGGACCGGUUAGCCGCAAGGCGAAGCUGAGAAUUUAAGCCCCAGUAAACGGCGGUGGUAACUAUAACCAUCCUAAGGUAGCGAAAUUCCUUGUCGGGUAAGUUCCGACCUGCACGAAUGGCGUAACGACUUCUCUGCUGUCUCGACCACAGACUCGGCGAAAUUGCAUUACGAGUAAAGAUGCUCGUUACGCGCGGCAGGACGAAAAGACCCCGGGACCUUUACUAUAGCUUGGUAUUGGCGUUCGAUUCGGUUUGUGUAGGAUAGGUGGGAGACUGUGAAGCAUGCACGCCAGUGUGUGUGGAGUCGUUGUUGAAAUACCACUCUGAUCGUAUUGGACGUCUAACCUCGGCCCAUGAUCUGGGUUAGGGACAGUGCCUGGUGGGUAGUUUAACUGGGGCGGUUGCCUCCCAAAGAGUAACGGAGGCGCCCAAAGGUUCCCUCAGCCUGGAUGGCAAUCAGGUGUUGAGUGCAAGUGCACAAGGGAGCUUGACUGUGAGACUGACACGUCGAGCAGGGACGAAAGUCGGGACUAGUGAUCCGGCACCGGCAUGUGGAAGCGGUGUCGCUCAACGGAUAAAAGGUACCCCGGGGAUAACAGGCUGAUCUUCCCCAAGAGUCCAUAUCGACGGGAUGGUUUGGCACCUCGAUGUCGGCUCGUCGCAUCCUGGGGCUGGAGUAGGUCCCAAGGGUUGGGCUGUUCGCCCAUUAAAGCGGCACGCGAGCUGGGUUUAGAACGUCGUGAGACAGUUCGGUCUCUAUCCGCCGCGCGCGUAAGAAACUUGCGGAAGGCUGUCCCUAGUACGAGAGGACCGGGACGGACGAACCUCUGGUGUGCCAGUUGUUCCACCAGGAGCAUCGCUGGUUAGCUACGUUCGGAAGGGAUAACCGCUGAAAGCAUCUAAGCGGGAAGCCUGUUCCAAGAUGAGGUUUCUCACCACCUUCGCGUGGUUAAGGCCCCCCACAGACCAUGGGGUUGAUAGGCCGGAACUGGAAGCGCAGCAAUGCGUGCAGGUGACCGGUACUAAUCGGCCGAGGACUUACACAC
This is a non-coding RNA of Dietzia cinnamea P4, 2465 nucleotides long. Lineage: Bacteria; Bacillati; Actinomycetota; Actinomycetes; Mycobacteriales; Dietziaceae. The record is from Rfam.